CGAAAGUUAGGGGAUCAAAGACGAUUAGAUACCGUCCUAGUCUUAACUGUAAACGAUUCCAUCUUAGAAUUGGGUGAAUAUUUGAUGAUUCAUCCAGCGCUAUAAGAGAAAUCAAAGUCUUUGGGUUCUUGGUGGAGUACGAUCGCAAGAUUGAAACUUAAAGGAAUUGACGGUUUUGCACACCAUGGAGUGGAGCCUGUGGCUUAAUUUGACAACACUGGGAAACUCAUCAGGACAACAAAGUUUUAGGAUUGACAGAUUGAUAGCUCUUUCUUGAUUGACUUAAUGGUGGUGCAUGGCCGUUCUUAGUUGGUGGAGUGAUUUGUCUGGUUAAUUCCGUUAACGAACGAGACCUUAACCUACUAACUAGUACGACGUGACGAACGUUAGUUACUUCUUAGAGGGACAAUGUGUAUUUUAACACAAGGAAGUUUAAGGCAAUAACAGGUCUGUGAUGCCCUUAGAUGUCCUGAGCCGCACACGCGCA
This 487-nucleotide ribosomal RNA is filed under the name uncultured eukaryote. Its description in RNAcentral is "SSU rRNA". It matches the Rfam family "Eukaryotic small subunit ribosomal RNA", at positions 984 to 1499 of the family's 1831-position model. The record is from RNAcentral.